GCGUUUUUGGGUCGAUAGCCGAGGUGGUACUAUGUUUUUCUUGAUCCAAUAGGUCGGUGAAUAUCCCGAACGAAAGAGUCCUGAUUUGGCUCCAGCAGGGGGGCGGGCGCCCAGGCUACCAGGGCGGGCGCCCUGGGCCUGGCCCAGUUUCGCCUCCGCUUCGGUCUCGUGGCUUCUGGAGUCUUCUAGAUGAUGUAAAAUUGCGCGGUGCGUUGAUAUCUCUAUGUAAUCCCAACAUGUGGGCCUUUCUUCCUUAUUUCCUAAUAACCCCCUGCAGAAACAGAUAAACAACAAAACUCGUGGAAUUCUGUCAGAUCAAACCCUAAUUCUAGGUGUUGGUUGCAUAUUGGUCCUUUCUCUUGUUUCUUUGAUAAUUAAAAUUGAUACUUAAGAACCGUCAACAAAUACCCCCAUACUUAGGCUUUUACUCGUCCUCGAGAAAAGGAUGGUUAAGAAAAAUAUCUGGGGUAAAACAUUUAAAACAUUCUCUUUGUAUAAUUGCAUGGUGUUAAAAUUUCACUGUGUACCAUAGUCAAGGAUGUUUAUGGUUAAGAGUAAAGAUCCUUUCUUCUCAAUCCUGUCACUUGGAGUUUUUGUAUAUUUUUGAAAGAAAAUUAGCAUACCUUUUUAUCCUCAUAGGUUCUCUCAGAUCACUCAUUAUCUUUUAUAUAUAUAUAUCUCACUGAGGUUGUUUUAAUUUUGCAAAAAUUCUCAAGCAUACUUAUUUUGCAUUUAUUGCCUGAUCAAAACGGGAUCCGAGGAGGGGAAUGUCAUACUCUUAGAUCAAAGACUUUGGAAAUUAAAAUCUUUGUCAACUCUUGCUGGCAUAUUGCUUAUUAGAGGAACCAUGGGCUAUCAUUUUUUUCUUCCUUUUUUUUUAAGUGGAUACCGAGGUACCUCUAAUUCUACUGCCGGACACUUGUCCAUUUUUUCUGCGAGGUUGUCGAGCACUUGCUCCUUUUUAUUUCCUCGAAAUAUUUCUAUUUUUGCAUAGCCCAUGCCUCUAAUGCAAUAAUACUUCGGAAGAGUGAAUCUUACUGAAAUAAUGUCUUGAUCUUAGGAGCAUGAUAAAUCUCUCAAUAAGGGUCUAACUCAUUUUGAACAAACUCAAUACAGAGUAGAUAGCUUUAUAAUCAUCAUUAAUAUUUUUAUUUUUAUCAGGCAUAUAAAACACUGAGGAUGGUAGCUAGAAUUUUGAACAUUUUGAAAUAAAUUCUCCAAGCAACAAUGAUAUCAAGAAUAAGAAACUCAUACUCUACCAUCACAUAUUCCAUAUUGACUUGAGUAACAUAGGGUUUUAAAAUGAUUUUAUAAUAAUUGCAAGUUUUCAGGAAAUAUCACAGAUUGAGAUUAAUCAUGAUUAGAAAUAUUUUAAUAUUUUUAUUUUAUCAUGUCGGAAACAGUAAUCUGCAUAAUCCAAAAUAAAUGUAUGUAUGAAGUAAAGUGUGCAGAGUGUGUACCUGAAUCGUGGAGUGGUGUAGUCGGAGUGUGUUUGGCAUGUUAAGGGAUCUUCCCCAUACUUGUUUUCUGCUUUCUUGCACAAAAAUAAAGUAGAGACACACAAGACAUAAUAAUAAUAGUAAUACUCUUUAUUGAUCUUGAGGCAUUUAGUACAAAAGACUGAUAACAAACUGAUAGCAAACUGAUAAUAAUAGUAAACUGAUGAUAAUAGUAAACCUAAACCGAAUUUAAAGAUAAAUGACUAAGAUGCAUUGCCUCAAGGUCUAAUCUAGAUAACUUAACGGCGCUCUAAUUCCUUGAUCUUCUUGUUGGCACUGGCAAGAUCCUGCCUAAGGCCUAAUAUAACGGUGUUGUGGUUAGAGAGCUGCCUAGUGAGGGAAUUAAUCGA
RNAcentral lists this long non-coding RNA (1849 nucleotides) under Sorghum bicolor (sorghum). RNAcentral describes it as "long non-coding RNA (SBIC_LNC000195)". Lineage: Eukaryota; Viridiplantae; Streptophyta; Magnoliopsida; Poales; Poaceae. The record is from RNAcentral.